CCUACGGGAGGCAGCAGUGAGGAAUAUUGGUCAAUGGACGAGAGUCUGAACCAGCCAAGUAGCGUGAAGGAUGACUGCCCUAUGGGUUGUAAACUUCUUUUAUAUGGGAAUAAAAUGUUCCACGUGUGGGAUUUUGUAUGUACCAUAUGAAUAAGGAUCGGCUAACUCCGUGCCAGCAGCCGCGGUAAUACGGAGGAGCCGAGCGUUAGCCGGAUUUAUUGGGUUUAAAGGGAGCGUAGGUGGAUUGUUAAGUCAGUUGUGAAAGUUUGCGGCUCAACCGUAAAAUUGCAGUUGAAACUGGCAGUCUUGAGUACAGUAGAGGUGGGCGGAAUUCGUGGUGUAGCGGUGAAAUGCUUAGAUAUCACGAAGAACUCCGAUUGCGAAGGCAGUUCACUGGACUGCAACUGACACUGAGGCUCGAAAGUGUGGGUAUCAAACAGGAUUAGAUACCCCAGUAGUC
This 460-nucleotide ribosomal RNA is filed under the name uncultured bacterium. Its description in RNAcentral is "partial 16S ribosomal RNA". It matches the Rfam family "Bacterial small subunit ribosomal RNA", at positions 338 to 795 of the family's 1533-position model. The record is from RNAcentral.